Ictidomys tridecemlineatus (thirteen-lined ground squirrel) is the source of this 398-nucleotide non-coding RNA. NCBI's taxonomy places the organism in Eukaryota, Metazoa, Chordata, Mammalia, Rodentia, Sciuridae. The record is from RefSeq and is a predicted model, not a curated record.
GGCUCUAAUCAGAGCAAGUACUGGAACUGCUGCCACCAACUUCUCAAACUGUCUUGGGUUGGGGAGCUUAGAGUGAGAAUUUCAAGCCACUUGAGGCCACAGACAACCAAAGAGAAAUAUGCGGAAUUGCAAGUGUCCCCAAAAUGAAACUAUAAACCUCACUCUACACUACAAACAAGAAGGAUCCAAGGGGCACCAUGAGAUCCACUCACAUAAAAGGCAACAAUUAACAUCAAGACAACUCUACCAGCUCCUCCACAUAUCAUGGCCAGCAUCUGAACAAAUAACCGCUAGAGGCUACUGAGUGUGCCAACAGUUCUCAAAUCCAUUGCUAUCAGAGAACUAGAUGAACUUGAUCUUGGGGUGACUGAAAUAAAGAGUCUCCCACUGAAACACUA